AACGAACGCUGGCGGCAGGCCUAACACAUGCAAGUCGAGCGAAGCCUUCGGGCUUAGCGGCGGACGGGUGAGUAACGCGUGGGAACGUGCCCUCUGGUACGGAAUAGCCCCGGGAAACUGGGAGUAAUACCGUAUGUGGUCGAGAGACGAAAGAUUUAUCGCCAAAGGAUCGGCCCGCGUUGGAUUAGGUAGUUGGUGGGGUAAUGGCCUACCAAGCCGACGAUCCAUAGCUGGUUUGAGAGGAUGAUCAGCCACACUGGGACUGAGACACGGCCCAGACUCCUACGGGAGGCAGCAGUGGGGAAUCUUAGACAAUGGGGGAAACCCUGAUCUAGCCAUGCCGCGUGAUCGAUGAAGGCCUUAGGGUUGUAGAGGUCUUUCAGUGGGGAAGAUAAUGACUGUACCCACAGAAGAAGCCCCGGCUAACUCCGUGCCAGCCGCCGCCGUAA
This 449-nucleotide ribosomal RNA is filed under the name uncultured bacterium. Its description in RNAcentral is "partial 16S ribosomal RNA". It matches the Rfam family "Bacterial small subunit ribosomal RNA", at positions 29 to 523 of the family's 1533-position model. The record is from RNAcentral.